This 449-nucleotide ribosomal RNA is filed under the name uncultured bacterium. RNAcentral's name for it is "SSU rRNA". It matches the Rfam family "Bacterial small subunit ribosomal RNA", at positions 26 to 518 of the family's 1533-position model. The record is from RNAcentral.
AGAGCGAACGCUGGCGGCAGGCUUAACACAUGCAAGUCGAGCGGGCGUAGCAAUACGUCAGCGGCAGACGGGUGAGUAACGCGUGGGAACGUACCUUUUGGUUCGGAACAACCCAGGGAAACUUGGACUAAUACCGGAUAAGCCCUUACGGGGAAAGAUUUAUCGCCGAAAGAUCGGCCCGCGUCUGAUUAGCUAGUUGGUGAGGUAAUGGCUCACCAAGGCGACGAUCAGUAGCUGGUCUGAGAGGAUGAUCAGCCACAUUGGGACUGAGACACGGCCCAAACUCCUACGGGAGGCAGCAGUGGGGAAUAUUGGACAAUGGGCGCAAGCCUGAUCCAGCCAUGCCGCGUGAGUGAUGAAGGCCCUAGGGUUGUAAAGCUCUUUUGUGCGGGAAGAUAAUGACGGUACCGCAAGAAUAACGCCCCGGCUAACUUCGUGCCAGCAGCCGC